Molecule: small nuclear RNA, 140 nt
Filed under: Chelonia mydas (Green sea turtle)
Lineage: Eukaryota; Metazoa; Chordata; Testudines; Cheloniidae
Description: U1 spliceosomal RNA
Rfam family: U1 spliceosomal RNA
About the family: U1 is a small nuclear RNA (snRNA) component of the spliceosome (involved in pre-mRNA splicing). Its 5' end forms complementary base pairs with the 5' splice junction, thus defining the 5' donor site of an intron.
Source: Rfam by way of RNAcentral
AGAAUUAGGCAGGGAAGAUACCAUGAUCACGAAGGUGGUUUUCCCAGGGUGAGGCUCAUCCAUUGCACUGCGGGUGUGCUGACCCCUGCGAUUUCCCCAAAUGCGGGAAACUCGACUGCAUAAUUUGUGGUUAGUUAUAC